This 428-nucleotide long non-coding RNA is filed under the name Ficedula albicollis (Collared flycatcher). RNAcentral describes it as "lncRNA (ENSFALG00000024072.1)". The record is from RNAcentral. Lineage: Eukaryota; Metazoa; Chordata; Aves; Passeriformes; Muscicapidae.
AAAUACUUCACUUGCAAAACUCCAGUGUCUACUCAGAGAACUACUUCAAAUUCUUCUGGUACAGUAUACCUGUUGUAUUUCCCUUCUGCUUAAGUAAGGACACUGGGACUACACAGAGCAUUUCAGGCAUUGUUAAAGGAAAACCUUCAUCAACAGGAAUGACCAAGGAGAUGUCUAUCCUCUGGCCAAGCUGAAAAGACUGUUGGAGUGAAAUAUGACCAGCCAUUCUACAAUGUUUCUGCUGCUGGUCUGUCUACAUGCAGAAGCAUACUGUGGCCAGUGGAGCAUGUGCUUUUUCAGUGCAAAUUCAGAUUUCUGAAAAUUGCCUAGAUGAAAGAUUAGAGCAGAGAUGGUCAAUUUCCAUAUCCUGCAAGUUGAGUACCCAGAAGCUCAUUUGGCAAAGCACUGCACAAGAACGUGAGAAAUGA